RNAcentral lists this ribosomal RNA (403 nucleotides) under uncultured archaeon. RNAcentral's name for it is "bacterial SSU rRNA". It matches the Rfam family "Archaeal small subunit ribosomal RNA", at positions 477 to 879 of the family's 1478-position model. The record is from RNAcentral.
CGGCGGCUCGAGUGGUGGCCACUAUUACUGGGCUUAAAGCGUUCGUAGCUGGUUUGUUAAGUCUCUGGGGAAAUCUUCCGGCUUAACCGGAAGGCGUCUCAGGGAUAUUGGCAGACUAGGGACCGGGAGAGGUGAGAGGUACUCCAGGGGUAGGAGUGAAAUCCUGUAAUCCUUGGGGGACCACCUGUGGCGAAGGCGUCUCACCAGAACGGCUCCGACAGUGAGGGACGAAAGCUGGGGGAGCAAACCGGAUUAGAUACCCGGGUAGUCCCAGCUGUAAACGAUGCGCGUUAGGUGUAUCGGUGACCACGAGUCACCGAGGUGCCGAAGAGAAAUCGUGAAACGUGCCGCCUGGGAAGUACGGUCGCAAGGCUGAAACUUAAAGGAAUUGGCGGGGGAGCAC